GAGGCACUGCCUGCCCAGUGACUAUACGUUAAACGGCCGCGGUAUCCUGACCGUGCAAAGGUWGCAUAAUCAUUUGUUCUCUAAAUAAGGACUUGUAUGAAUGGCAACACGAGAGUUUUACUGUCUCUUACUUCCAAUCAGUGAAAUUGACUUCCCCGUGAAGAGGCGGGGAUAUACUAACAAGACGAGAAGACCCUAUGGAGCUUUAACUAACUAACCCAAAGAAAACAUUCUCAACCGUCAAGGGAUAAUAAUACUCUUUAUGGGCUAGCAGUUUUGGUUGGGGCGACCUCGGAGAACAAAAAAUCCUCCGAGCGAUUUUAAAGACUAGACCUACAAGUCAAACCAAAUUAUCGCUUAUUGAUCCAAAAAUUUGAUCAACGGAACAAGUUACCCUAGGGAUAACAGCGCAAUCCUAUUCAAGAGUCCAUAUCGACAAUAGGGUUUACGACCUCGAUGUUGGAUCAGGACACCCCGAUGGUGCAACCGCUAUCAAAGGUUCGUUUGUUCAACGAUUAAAGUCCUACGUGAUCUGAGU
This 538-nucleotide ribosomal RNA is filed under the name Capricornis sumatraensis (Sumatran serow). Its description in RNAcentral is "partial 16S ribosomal RNA". It matches the Rfam family "Bacterial large subunit ribosomal RNA", at positions 1849 to 2610 of the family's 2925-position model. The record is from RNAcentral. Lineage: Eukaryota; Metazoa; Chordata; Mammalia; Artiodactyla; Bovidae.